GGGUUGUGAGGUUAAGCGACUAAGCGUACACGGUGGAUGCCCUGGCAGUCAGAGGCGAUGAAGGACGUGCUAAUCUGCGAAAAGCGUCGGUAAGGUGAUAUGAACCGUUAUAACCGGCGAUGUCCGAAUGGGGAAACCCAGUGUGAUUCGUCACACUAUCGUUAACUGAAUACAUAGGUUAACGAGGCGAACCGGGGGAACUGAAACAUCUAAGUACCCCGAGGAAAAGAAAUCAACCGAGAUUCCCCCAGUAGCGGCGAGCGAACGGGGAGCAGCCCAGAGUCUGAAUCAGCUUGUGUGUUAGUGGAACGGUCUGGAAAGUCCGACGGUACAGGGUGAUAGUCCCGUACACCAAAAUGCACAGGCUGUGAACUCGAAGAGUAGGGCGGGACACGUGGUAUCCUGUCUGAAUAUGGGGGGACCAUCCUCCAAGGCUAAAUACUCCUGACUGACCGAUAGUGAACCAGUACCGUGAGGGAAAGGCGAAAAGAACCCCGGCGAGGGGAGUGAAAAAGAACCUGAAACCGUGUACGUACAAGCAGUGGGAGCACCUUCGGGUGUGACUGCGUACCUUUUGUAUAAUGGGUCAGCGACUUAUAUUCUGUAGCAAGGUUAACCGUAUAGGGGAGCCGCAGGGAAACCGAGUCUUAACUGGGCGUUAAGUUGCAGGGUAUAGACCCGAAACCCGGUGAUCUAGCCAUGGGCAGGUUGAAGGUUGGGUAACACUAACUGGAGGACCGAACCGACUAAUGUUGAAAAAUUAGCGGAUGACUUGUGGCUGGGGGUGAAAGGCCAAUCAAACCGGGAGAUAGCUGGUUCUCCCCGAAAGCUAUUUAGGUAGCGCCUCGUGAAUUCAUCUUCGGGGGUAGAGCACUGUUUCGGCUAGGGGGUCAUCCCGACUUACCAACCCGAUGCAAACUACGAAUACCGAAGAAUGUUAUCACGGGAGACACACGGCGGGUGCUAACGUCCGUCGUGAAGAGGGAAACAACCCAGACCGCCAGCUAAGGUCCCAAAGUCAUGGUUAAGUGGGAAACGAUGUGGGAAGGCACAGACAGCCAGGAUGUUGGCUUAGAAGCAGCCAUCAUUUAAAGAAAGCGUAAUAGCUCACUGGUCGAGUCGGCCUGCGCGGAAGAUGUAACGGGGCUAAACCAUGCACCGAAGCUGCGGCAGCGACACUAUGUGUUGUUGGGUAGGGGAGCGUUCUGUAAGCCUGCGAAGGUGACCUGUGAGGGUUGCUGGAGGUAUCAGAAGUGCGAAUGCUGACAUAAGUAACGAUAAAGCGGGUGAAAAGCCCGCUCGCCGGAAGACCAAGGGUUCCUGUCCAACGUUAAUCGGGGCAGGGUGAGUCGACCCCUAAGGCGAGGCCGAAAGGCGUAGUCGAUGGGAAACAGGUUAAUAUUCCUGUACUUGGUGUUACUGCGAAGGGGGGACGGAGAAGGCUAUGUUAGCCGGGCGACGGUUGUCCCGGUUUAAGCAUGUAGGCUGGUUAUCCAGGCAAAUCCGGAUAAUCAAGGCUGAGGUGUGAUGACGAGGCACUACGGUGCUGAAGUAACAAAUGCCCUGCUUCCAGGAAAAGCCUCUAAGCAUCAGGUAACAUCAAAUCGUACCCCAAACCGACACAGGUGGUCAGGUAGAGAAUACCAAGGCGCUUGAGAGAACUCGGGUGAAGGAACUAGGCAAAAUGGUGCCGUAACUUCGGGAGAAGGCACGCUGGUGUGUAGGUGAAGUCCCUGCGGAUGGAGCUGAGACCAGUCGAAGAUACCAGCUGGCUGCAACUGUUUAUUAAAAACACAGCACUGUGCAAACACGAAAGUGGACGUAUACGGUGUGACGCCUGCCCGGUGCCGGAAGGUUAAUUGAUGGGGUUAUCCGUAAGGAGAAGCUCUUGAUCGAAGCCCCGGUAAACGGCGGCCGUAACUAUAACGGUCCUAAGGUAGCGAAAUUCCUUGUCGGGUAAGUUCCGACCUGCACGAAUGGCGUAAUGAUGGCCAGGCUGUCUCCACCCGAGACUCAGUGAAAUUGAACUCGCUGUGAAGAUGCAGUGUACCCGCGGCAAGACGGAAAGACCCCGUGAACCUUUACUAUAGCUUGACACUGAACAUUGAGCCUUGAUGUGUAGGAUAGGUGGGAGGCUUUGAAGCGUGGACGCCAGUCUGCGUGGAGCCAACCUUGAAAUACCACCCUUUAAUGUUUGAUGUUCUAACGUGGGCCCCUGACCGGGGUUGCGGACAGUGUCUGGUGGGUAGUUUGACUGGGGCGGUCUCCUCCCAAAGCGUAACGGAGGAGCACGAAGGUUAGCUAAUCCUGGUCGGACAUCAGGAGGUUAGUGCAAUGGCAUAAGCUAGCUUGACUGCGAGCGUGACGGCGCGAGCAGGUGCGAAAGCAGGUCAUAGUGAUCCGGUGGUUCUGAAUGGAAGGGCCAUCGCUCAACGGAUAAAAGGUACUCCGGGGAUAACAGGCUGAUACCGCCCAAGAGUUCAUAUCGACGGCGGUGUUUGGCACCUCGAUGUCGGCUCAUCACAUCCUGGGGCUGAAGUAGGUCCCAAGGGUAUGGCUGUUCGCCAUUUAAAGUGGUACGCGAGCUGGGUUUAGAACGUCGUGAGACAGUUCGGUCCCUAUCUGCCGUGGGCGCUGGAGAAUUGAGGGGGGCUGCUCCUAGUACGAGAGGACCGGAGUGGACGCAUCACUGGUGUUCGGGUUGUCAUGCCAAUGGCACUGCCCGGUAGCUAAAUGCGGAAGAGAUAAGUGCUGAAAGCAUCUAAGCACGAAACUUGCCCCGAGAUGAGUUCUCCCUGAGACUUUAAGUCUCCUGAAGGAACGUUGAAGACGACGACGUUGAUAGGCCGGGUGUGUAAGCGCAGCGAUGCGUUGAGCUAACCGGUACUAAUGAACCGUGAGGCUUAACCUUACAACGCCGAAG
RNAcentral lists this ribosomal RNA (2923 nucleotides) under Klebsiella quasipneumoniae. RNAcentral's name for it is "23S ribosomal RNA". It matches the Rfam family "Bacterial large subunit ribosomal RNA". RNAcentral also lists the same sequence under 1 other name. The record is from RNAcentral. Lineage: Bacteria; Pseudomonadati; Pseudomonadota; Gammaproteobacteria; Enterobacterales; Enterobacteriaceae.